UUGGUGAUACUUUUUGUUAUCAGGUAUACAAACUUGAGAACCCUUUCUUCCCCAGCUCUAUUUGCCAGUUUUUGUUUGUUUGUUUGUUUGUUUGUUUUUGAGAUGGAGUUUCACUCUUGUUGCCCAGGCUGGAGUGCAAUGGCACGAUCUCCGCUCACUGCAACCUCUACCUCCCAGGUUCAAGAGAUUCUCCUACCUCAGCCUCCUGAGUAGCUGGGAUUACAGGCAUGCACCACCACACCCUGCUAAUUUUUUGUAUUUUCAGUAGAGACGGGGUUUCACUAUGUUGGCCAGGCUGGUCUCGAACUCCUGACCUCAGACGAUCCACCCGCCUCGGCCUCCCAAAGUGCUGGGAUUACAGGCGUGAGCCACCGUGCCUGGCUCUGUUUUUUUUUUUUUUUUGUUGUUGUUGUUGUUUUGUUGUUUUGUUUUUCUGGUUUUUUUUUAAACAUAAGUGACUCCAUUUAGAUUCUGACACCUUUCAUAGCAAUAAUGUGAGGACCUUGAGUACUUUGCAUUUUUUUUCCAAGGUGUGAGCUUUCUGAGGUAUUUGACCUCAGGAGGUGGCUGACCAACAGUAUGAGGUCCUGAGGUGUUUAGGAGCCUGUGUCACAAGAUGUGAAGUCACUGAAAUAUUUUUCUUUCAGACUAUGAAUUUCUUGGGAUAUUUGGGGGUCUGAGUUUCAGGGUGUGAAGACUGUAGGCUGUUUCCCAGGUCUCUGAUCUAUAGGCCAGGCUGUGAGGCUUCUGAACCCUUUAGGGUUCUACCUCCCAACAUGUGACAUCUCACAGUUCCUUGAAUGUGAGUUCUACGUGAGGCAGAAAUUUUAAAAUACUACUAAUAGUAAUAAUAAGUACUGCAUUUAUUCAUUCCAAGAAAAGUAACAGGCAAGGCAAGGGUUAAAAAGAAAAGAACAAGUUUUCCUCUGCCUAGCAAGUUCACUUCAAAGACAGUUUUAAUACAAUGCUGUCCGAAUACCCAAGGCCAAAGGGAUGGGCUCCAGACACCCCCACCCCGCCCCGCCAACUUCCAGAGCAAGGUUGAAGGAAUAAAAAGAGAAAGACAGAUUCUUUUACUGUUACUCUUUUCCCAGGCUUCUUAAGCAUUAUUAUGUUUUAUAAAUGUCUCCUUUGCCUCUAGGGGCUGGCUUUAGCUCAGCGGUUACUUCGACAAUGCUUUCCAUGGUUAGGAAACCAACCUCUCUGGGUGGUUUGAGACCCGUGGGCCCUCUCCAGUCCUUUUGUGGUCGCCAAAAAUGUUGCGGUAAACUGAGGAACAGAGAGACCAAUAUGGAGUACAUGAGGAUUGUUGUUUAUUUUAGGUACGCACCGGCUCAGUGGAUUCAUAUUCAAAAAGCUGAGCCAGUGUGUACCUAAAAUAAACAACAAUUCUCCUCUACUCCAUAUUGGUCUCUCUGUUCCUCAGUUUACCGCAACAUAUGAGCUGGUUUAUUUUUAUCAUGGUGUUAGUUCUCUGAACUCUUUAUGGGUCCAUUUUCAUCAUUGUGAGGUGAUUACCAUUUUUGAGGAUUGGUAUCCCUGACCGUGGACAUUUCUGAACUUUUGAGGUUCUCUCCUUGAGUUUGAGGCCACAUUGUUCUUCCAAGGCAUAUUUACCCAUAUACCAGGUCUCUGAGCCAAUUUAUUGACUAUAUCUAAAAUGUGAGGACAAUGAGCUUCUUUCUUUCUUCCUUCCUUCCUUCCUUCCUCCUCCCUUCCUUCCUUCCUUCCUUCCUCCUUCCUUCCUUCCUUCCCUCCUUCCUUCCUUCCUUC
This 1773-nucleotide long non-coding RNA is filed under the name Homo sapiens (human). RNAcentral describes it as "HSALNT0282783". The stretch from base 1142 to 1243 matches the Rfam family "Vault RNA". Lineage: Eukaryota; Metazoa; Chordata; Mammalia; Primates; Hominidae. The record is from RNAcentral.